UCGCGCUACCAUGCAGUCGAGCGGAGAUGAGGUGCUUGCACCUUAUCUUAGCGGCGGACGGGNUUAUUUAAUGCUUAGGAAUCUGCCUAUUAGUGGGGGACAACAUUCCGAAAGGAAUGCUAAUACCGCAUACGUCCUACGGGAGAAAGCAGGGGAUCUUCGGACCUUGCGCUAAUAGAUGAGCCUAAGUCGGAUUAGCUAGUUGGUGGGGUAAAGGCCUACCAAGGCGACGAUCUGUAGCGGGUCUGAGAGGAUGAUCCGCCACACUGGGACUGAGACACGGCCCAGACUCCUACGGGAGGCAGCAGUGGGGAAUAUUGGACAAUGGGGGGAACCCUGAUCCAGCCAUGCCGCGUGUGUGAAGAAGGCCUUAUGGUUGUAAAGCACUUUAAGCGAGGAGGAGGCUACUGAGACUAAUACUCUUGGAUAGUGGACGUUACUCGCAGAAUAAGCACCGGCUAACUCUGUGCCAGCAGCCGUGGUAAUACAGAGGGUGCGAGCGUUAAUCGGAUUUACUGGGCGUAAAGCGUGCGUAGGCGGCUUUUUAAGUCGGAUGUGAAAUCCCCGAGCUUAACUUGGGAAUUGCAUUCGAUACUGGGAAGCUAGAGUAUGGGAGAGGAUGGUAGAAUUCCAGGUGUAGCGGUGAAAUGCGUAGAGAUCUGGAGGAAUACCCGAUGGCGAAGGCAGCCAUCCUGGCCUAAUACUGACGCUGAGGUACGAANGCAUGGGGAGCAAACAGGAUUAGAUACCCUGGUAGUCCAUGCCGUAAACGAUGUCUACUAGCCGUUGGGGCCUUUGANGCUUUAGUGGCGCAGCUAACGCGAUAAGUAAACCGCCUGGGGAGUACGGUCGCAAGACUAAAACUCAAUGAAUUGACGGG
This 880-nucleotide ribosomal RNA is filed under the name uncultured bacterium. RNAcentral's name for it is "bacterial SSU rRNA". It matches the Rfam family "Bacterial small subunit ribosomal RNA", at positions 44 to 917 of the family's 1533-position model. The record is from RNAcentral.